GACGAACGCUGGCGGCGUGCUUAACACAUGCAAGUCGAACGGAAAGGCCCUGCUCUUGUGGGGUGCUCGAGUGGCGAACGGGUGAGUAACACGUGAGUAACCUGCCCUUGACUUUGGGAUAACUUCAGGAAACUGGGGCUAAUACCGGAUAGGAGCUCCUGCUGCAUGGUGGGGGUUGGAAAGUUUCGGCGGUUGGGGAUAGACUCGCGGCUUAUCAGCUUGUUGGUGGGGUAGUGGCUUACCAAGGCUUUGACGGGUAGCCGGCCUGAGAGGGUGACCGGCCACAUUGGGACUGAGAGACGGCCCAGACUCCUACGGGAGGCAGCAGUGGGGAAUAUGGCACAAUGGGCGGAAGCCUGAUGCAGCAACGCCGCGUGCGGGAUGACGGCCUUCGGGUUGUAAACCGCUUUCGCCUGUGACGAAGCGUGAGUGACGGUAAUGGGUAAAGAAGCACCGGCUAACUACGUG
This 468-nucleotide ribosomal RNA is filed under the name uncultured bacterium. Its description in RNAcentral is "partial 16S ribosomal RNA". It matches the Rfam family "Bacterial small subunit ribosomal RNA", at positions 28 to 507 of the family's 1533-position model. The record is from RNAcentral.